GGCUGGUCUGUAGGUAGUGAGUUAUCUUAAUUGUUCACAGUCAGUUAUACAUCAGUCUCUUUGUUCGGUUCUUUCCUCCCUUCUCACUACUGUACUUGACUAGUCUUAA
This 109-nucleotide Y RNA is filed under the name Saimiri boliviensis boliviensis (Bolivian squirrel monkey). RNAcentral describes it as "Y RNA (ENSSBOG00000004841.1)". It matches the Rfam family "Y RNA". From Rfam's summary of the family: Y RNAs are components of the Ro ribonucleoprotein particle (Ro RNP), in association with Ro60 and La proteins. Lineage: Eukaryota; Metazoa; Chordata; Mammalia; Primates; Cebidae. The record is from Rfam by way of RNAcentral.